GUGGGGAAUAUUGGGCAAUGGGCGCAAGCCUGACCCAGCAACGCCGCGUGAGGGAAGAAGGCUUUCGGGUUGUAAACCUCUGUCCUUGGUGACGAAACAAAUGACGUUAGCCAAGGAGGAAGCCCCGGCUAACUACGUGCCAGCAGCCGCGGUAAUACGUAGGGGGCGAGCGUUGUCCGGAAUUACUGGGCGUAAAGGGUGCGUAGGUGGCCUGUGAAGUUGGAUGUGAAAUACCCGGGCUUAACUUGGGGGGUGCAUCUAAUACUGGAGGGCUAGAGUGCAGGAGAGGAAAGCGGAAUUCCUAGUGUAGCGGUGAAAUGCGUAGAUAUUAGGAGGAACACCAGUGGCGAAGGCGGCUUUCUGGACUGUAACUGACACUGAGGCACGAAAGCGUGGGGAGCAAACAGGAUUAGAUACCCCGGUAGUCC
RNAcentral lists this ribosomal RNA (428 nucleotides) under uncultured bacterium. RNAcentral describes it as "partial 16S ribosomal RNA". It matches the Rfam family "Bacterial small subunit ribosomal RNA", at positions 354 to 796 of the family's 1533-position model. The record is from RNAcentral.